CGUUGACACUGGGGGCGCCGCAAGGCUGAGACGAACGUUUAAGUUCGGACCCUUCGAACCUGAUCUGGUUUAUACCAGCGUAGGGAAGUGAGAGCGAAUGGAC
Molecule: non-coding RNA, 103 nt
Filed under: Paenibacillus stellifer
Lineage: Bacteria; Bacillati; Bacillota; Bacilli; Caryophanales; Paenibacillaceae
Description: TPP sequence
Rfam family: TPP riboswitch aptamer (THI element)
About the family: Vitamin B(1) in its active form thiamin pyrophosphate (TPP) is an essential coenzyme that is synthesised by coupling of pyrimidine and thiazole moieties in bacteria. The previously detected thiamin-regulatory element, thi box was extended, resulting in a new, highly conserved RNA secondary structure, the THI element, which is widely distributed in eubacteria and also occurs in some archaea. Analysis of operon structures identified a large number of new candidate thiamin-regulated genes, mostly transporters, in various prokaryotic organisms.
Source: Rfam by way of RNAcentral